RNAcentral lists this ribosomal RNA (421 nucleotides) under uncultured Spiroplasma sp. RNAcentral's name for it is "bacterial SSU rRNA". It matches the Rfam family "Bacterial small subunit ribosomal RNA", at positions 139 to 547 of the family's 1533-position model. The record is from RNAcentral. Lineage: Bacteria; Bacillati; Mycoplasmatota; Mollicutes; Entomoplasmatales; Spiroplasmataceae.
GGGAAUAACUGUUGGAAACGACAGCUAAUACCGCAUAAUAUUGAUGGAUAAUUUCCAGUAAUGAAAGGAGCUUUCAAGCUCCGCUGAUUGAUGAGGAUGCGGCGCAUUAGCUAGUUGGUAGGGUAAUGGCCUACCAAGGCAAUGAUGCGUAGCCGAUCUGAGAGGAUGAACGGCCACAUUGGGACUGAGACACGGCCCAAACUUCUACGGAAGGCAGCAGUAGGGAAUUUUUCACAAUGGGCGAAAGCCUGAUGGAGCAAUGCCGCGUGACUGAUGAAGGUCUUCGGAUUGUAAAGGUCUGUUGUAAGGGAAGAAAUGGUAAAACAGGAAAUGGUUUUAUCUAUGACGGUACCUUACCAGAAAGCCACGGCUAACUAUGUGCCAGCAGCCGCGGUAAUACAUAUGUGGCAAGCGUUAUCCG